RNAcentral lists this long non-coding RNA (1291 nucleotides) under Cairina moschata (Muscovy duck). RNAcentral describes it as "domestica (muscovy Duck (domestic type)) lncRNA (ENSCMMG00000001382.1)". Lineage: Eukaryota; Metazoa; Chordata; Aves; Anseriformes; Anatidae. The record is from RNAcentral.
GCCAUCCAGAUUGGCAGCUGUGGAAAAAAACCAUCCUCUGUCAUGCUAGAUCCCUUGACCCAUAGGUACCUCCUCCCUUCUGCUGAUGGCAGCAGCUCAGCUGUGUACCAAAGCUUAGCUACGGAGUCACUGGAACCGAAGCAUCCAAACAGAACAGGAGGCAGCAAAGCAGCCACACAGUGCAGGAUGCACUUCUUGGCAAUUUCCAAGGUGCUGUGAGUGGAAUAUGCCAAGAAUCUUGUUUCUAAACAUCCACUAAAUGUCCUCUGCCUCUGUAAAAGUCUCUGAGGCCCCUUAUCCUGAGAGCUAGAAAACUUUUUUGUACACAGAAAUAUAUAAAAACUAUCUGUGUGCAAACUUGGGCCUUUUGAUUGAUCCGAGAAAGCCAUCCAGACAGCUCCUUAGACUGAAACUUAUUUUCCCUUCUCUUUCCCCCCAGACCUUCAGUCACCAAGCCAGUCAGCCCGUCUGCUGCCAGAGGUUGAAACUCCAUCCCCUACUUGUCACUUUGGCAGCGGUCUCAUUACUCUGAGCCCUCCAUGGCAUGGCUUUCUGUUAGGAGGGAUUCAGUCUUAUCUGAGCGAGCACUGCCGGAAUGAAUGCAAGAUAGAAAGCAAUGAGCAGAACCAGAUUCUGCUCAAAUACAGUGCUCUUUUGAGAUUUUCUAGAGACUUGCACUGAAUUAAUAAUGCCUAAUUUCAUAAUGGCUUUCAGGCUGAGAUCUCAAAGAGUUCAUGCAUUGAUGGGUGCUGGUAACUUGCAGAUGACUUGAUUAUUUAGUGGCACAAGCAGAACAGAACUGGGGCUUCCUAAUUAACACCACCUGAUAUAAUUUAACAGGAGGGCAAAUCCUGUCCUGUGGUUUACCUAGCUCAUAUGUGCAACAUGGUACAAGAUAAUUAAUGGGGGGUGAUAGUUUACAUGAUGUGACCAUUGUUGGGACAGGUCUUGGGCAUCAGGCCUAUUUUUUUAUUUCAUAUCUGCCUGGUACCCAGCACACUGCGUUGUUUUCUGUGACCAAAGAGCAGUUAGUGAUAACAAUAUCAUCGUAAUUCAGAACAGCCUCUGCAUUUUCUGACCUAUUAUUUCUUCUGCAGAGUAAAUAUCUUAUCAUAAUAAAAGUGAAGAAAGAUGUAGUCUGCACGGAGCAAAGGUAAGGUCUGGACUAUCAGUCUCGGAUGGAAGACAAAAAAUACGAUCUACUCUUUUGGUAGUCUGAAUUAAAAUCCCACUGAGCACAGCCAGGAACUGCAGUAAAUUCAAACGUCCAGAGUAUAGCCAUAGACUUGUG